CGAACGAAGCGGCAACAGCCCAAAUUUGAAAUCUGGCGUAAGCCCGAGUUGUAAUUUGGAGGUAGACUAUUUGGGUGUCUGUGUCAACUAAGUGCCUUGGAAUAGGCCGCCGUAGAGGGUGAGAGCCCCGUGAGUUGACUAGCAGUUAUUCAGUUUGUCUUCCGACGAGUCGAGUUGUUUGGGAUUGCAGCUCUAAGUGGGUGGUAUAUUCCAUCUAAGGCUAAAUAAUAGCGAGAGACCGAUAGCAAACAAGUACAGUGAUGGAAAGAUGAAAAGAACUUUGAAAAGAGAGUGAAAUAGUACGUGAAAUUGUUGAAAGGGAAGGGUAUCUGAUCCGACGUGGUAUUUAGAUGUCGCCUGCCCUUGUGGCGGGUGCUCCAUUUUUUUACUGGGCCAGCGUGAGUUAGAAGGGGAUGAAAAGGCGGGAACGAAUGUAGCCUUCCUCCCUUUGGGAGAGGGGUGUUAUAACAUUCCUGUUUAGUUCCUUUCUG
Molecule: ribosomal RNA, 491 nt
Filed under: Brettanomyces custersianus
Lineage: Eukaryota; Fungi; Ascomycota; Pichiomycetes; Pichiales; Pichiaceae
Description: eukaryotic LSU rRNA
Rfam family: Eukaryotic large subunit ribosomal RNA
Source: RNAcentral